AUGGGAUCUAGUUUUGAAAAUCUAGACGUGAGGAAUCCAUCAUGCGUAGGUCGGAGUGAUCUUUGUAAUGAGUACUCCUUAAUUAGUGAUUUUGGUGUGUUGCUGUUUCAUUUUGUUCGUUCAUUUUUUCUUUGGUUUUUCUUCUGCCUGCUUCAUGUUUUUCUUGUUUUUGGUUUUUUUAACUUUCUUUGUUUUUUCUUUUCCUUUCCAUUAAUACACGGUGAACAGUUUUAUUUGUGCUCUAUGAACAAUUUUUAUGUGUCUGUUUCUAUUCCUUCCUUUUUUGUUAUUUUUCUUCGUGUAUUAUACAAAGUUCAUUUCAUGUUUAUAUAG
This 333-nucleotide ribosomal RNA is filed under the name Triticum aestivum (bread wheat). RNAcentral's name for it is "partial small subunit ribosomal RNA". The record is from RNAcentral. Lineage: Eukaryota; Viridiplantae; Streptophyta; Magnoliopsida; Poales; Poaceae.